UCAAAAUUUUUCUUCACGGGCUUUUCUUUUCCGAGAGAAAUUCUGUCACUGCACGGCACUCUGAACAAAGUCACGAGUGGUUGACAACUUUACUGAUAAAUAUGGGAGAAAAGAAAGGUUAUAGAGGCAAAAAUUGUCACAUUGUCACUCAGAUAGAUGUCCUAAUGCGAUGCCUAAAACGUUUUUGUUAGACAAGAGGAUCAGGGUAAGGCUCAAGACUUAUCAGCAUUCUAUUGUACAGAUCAAGGGAAUAACCAAACAAGCCCUGUGAAGUGCAGCAAAGUGCAGGAAGAUUCAUACAAUGGAAACUUGCCAUUUGCUUGAGAGUGACAUGGGCCUGCAAACCUACACCGGUCAUAUUUGCAUGCAUAUUACAUCUACAACAUAGUGCAGGUUCCUGCAAUAAACCUACGUCGUGUUUGCAUACAAGAUGCGAGGUAUAUUUCUACAAGCAUUAGUACCUCGCAUAGCACCAAAAGAAGUAAUGCUAGAUAGCAGCUUAGCAAGCUAGCUGGAAUAAAUCUAAGAAAAUUUCUUGGUUUUCAAGGCAGCUAAACUUUACAGCAAAAUUGGGCCCGAGUAGAACUAUCAGCGGCUGGGCCACGUUCCCCAACAUUUGUCUUUAUCGCUUAUAUUCGGGUUACUCAACAUGUGCUUUUUGAACUGUGGCGAGACUUGCUCAAGCAAGUCGUGAUUCGCUAGCAACCAAAAUCCGAGAUAAACAGGGAAACAGAACAUGCAAGGCAAGCAACAGUAGAGGUAAACGCUACAUCGAGUGCCAUAAAGAAGUAUGCAACAGCUCACUUACUCGCGCAUUAUCUGCAACGUACAAGUCUCACGAAGGAGGAAACGAAAUUGUUUCCCGAUCGAUGCCAACCUAAGCGGCAACGGCAGCAACAAGCGUUUAAAACGAGUUUAAACCUUUACACCAUCAGACAAAAAAGUGCUGCCUAGCUGGGAGCACACAUGCGCCUAAUUCACAACAGCAAAUUCAACAAACAAGAGCAACAGUACUGAAAAACGGAAUGCACAAGACCACGCGAUACCAACCAUAAACGCACUGCAAGGCGUAAAGAAACGAGCGGCUCCAGGGUUGCGCCCUUGUGUCGCUCGUGAUCGCAAGCUCGGACACGAUCCAGCUCUUCCAACGCAACUAGACAGAAGAAUAUUCUAGCACACAUUACACUAAGAAACCAUAAAAUUGAAGCAGCUCCAGCAGCAUGCACUGCAUCGCGCGCAAAAUUAUAAACCGGAACACGCCAUACUUGUUUAAACAACGUCACGAUCACGUGGCCACAACUCUGACGUCACUUCCGUGCGUGGCAGCAGCGCUCUCCACUUGGACUUCGCUGGUGCCACGCGCGGGUCAGCAGCUAUUGCCUAAAAAAUUUAGAGGAAUGGAAUGAUGGGAAAUAGGCCCUCACGUGAUAGGCAAGCGGUAGAUUUUACUCGGCUCGCUUCGGUGGCUUCGGUUUCGUCUGCUGCGGGGGUUUCGGAAUAUGCGCACAUACUCAGCGUGGCAAACGCGCGCCGAGGUUAGUGAAGGAAUUCGAGUGUGUGAAGCAGUUGAGUCUCGCCGCCUAAUUAGCAGACAGGCGCCAAGGCUGUUGCGAACGAAGGCGUCGGUUAACCGGCAUUGCGCCGAACAAGCCGGGAGGACUACCUCAAGGACGACUGGUUGCGUUUCGGUGUGGUUUCAGGGAAACGAGGGAACCUUUCGCCCUGCAAACGUGUGAAGGCAACCAAGCCGCCCUUCCGACGACGAUUCGUUGCGUUUGACGACGUCUUCUGGGAAACAAUGAUGCCUUUCGCCCCCGCAAAAUGUGCACGCGAUUAAGCGAGCGUACAGGGAUCCGAAGCGACUGUCCCUACGGGAAAAAAAUGCGUCCCGUCUUGUGCCCAAGGAUGGACUGGCGAGCCGGAGACUCCGAACAUAUUUAGGGCCGUGCCGGCCCGUAGCGCAGUCGACACUGUUGUUCGAGAUCUGCUCAAAGUCUUCGGCCUCUUAGCAGACCGGCGAGAACUCCCGUCAGCAGUAGGCGCACCUGCGUGAUGAAGUGUUUUGUGCCAGGAUGCCCUAAUCGAACAGAAAAUCGGCGCGAUGGCCUGUCCUUCCAUAGACGCUUGCAAAGGACGAUGCCACAGCAAUGAGUCAACCUUAAAGUGAAGCAGCUACAUCCACGGGUACAUAACAGCAUCAAGUUGAGCCAUCUCCCAGUCCAAGGCCCUCCAGGACGCUCAAGGGUGAAGCUUCUGCAGCACUGCCUGCACACAACCCAGCGACACCUCGAACAGCAAGGCAUACUAUGCCACAGCCAGCAGAAGACGCACCUGAAAAGGCCUUUCUGAGGCAUGAAGUAUGGCGUUACACAAUUACAAACUGCGACCAAGAAGAAGAUGAAGACUCUACGGCAAUCCCAUCAACACCUUUUUCAAAAGGUUGCUCAUCUCGAAAAUGUCAUAGAAGAUUUAUCUGACAAUCGCAUUCUAGGAAAUGAGGAUGUCGCCAUAUUGCAGAGUCUUGGUGGGGCAAAAAAAGACUUGCUCAUGCGUCAACUGCCACAUAAGUCUGGUGCCAGCAAUGUCACCCGCUUACUCGCCAGAGCUCAGGCCAUUUGCACUGACUUUGCAUUUUUAUUCCCCUAGAGCAUACAGAUAUGUACGAGCUGUUUUCAACACAUGCCUCCUGCAUCCAAAGACACUGUGUAAAUGAUAUCAAUCCAUUGAUAGGGCUGCUGACUUUUCAAAAGAGGCAAUGACUGCAUUGGCUAUCAAGGUAAAGCACGGCUCUCCACAUUAUGCAAUCUGGUUGUGGAUGAGAUGGCCAUUCAAAGAAGUAGUGUGGGAUGGGAUAAGCUUCCAUGGAUAUGUUGACAUGGGCAUUGAUGUCAAUGAUGACAGCUUUCCAGUUGCCUAAGAUGCAUUUGUUUUAAUGCUUGUUGCAAUCAAUGGCAGAUGGAAGCUGCCGAUUGGCUACUUUCUAGUGCAUGGCCUUGGUGGUGAGCAGAGGCGCAAUUUGGUGCUGCAAGCUGCUAGCUUCACUCACGAAAAAGGUGCACACAUUUUGAGUUUGACCUGCGAUGGCGCUGCAGCGAAUUUGUCAUUGCUGCACAGCCUUGGCUGCAAGAUGGACCUGACUGAGCUGGAUGCUUCUUUUCCACAUCCAGUGACAAAAAAAGCUUUUCUUUGCCAUGUUGGAUCCCUGUCACAUGUUGAAGCUACUGCGGCACACCCUGUUUGAUAAAAAGGCUAUUGUGAUACGAACAAACAGUUCAUAUUGUUGAAACACAUUGAUGAGCUGCAUGAAAUCCAGUACACAGAGGGCCUACAUUUGGCAAACAAACUUAGACAAGCACAUAUUACCUGGAAAAACCAGCCCAUGAAAGUCUCAUUGUUGGCUCAAACGUUUAGUCAAUCGGUAGCAGAUGCUCUUAGUGACUGCAGAGCUCAAAAAAAUUCAAAGUUUUCAAAUUCCUUGCCAACAGAAGAGUUUAUCAGACAUGUCAACAACGCAUUUGACAUUUUAAAUUCAAGACAUCCAAGGCAAGAAGAAUAGAAAGGACCGCUGUGUCCUGAAAAUGUGGCUCCUGUCACUGCGUAUGUCAAAGAACUUAUGGCCUACUUUUGCUCGCUUAGGGAGUCUGCAGCUGGUAAACUAAUGACAGGGACCACCCAAAAGACAGGCUUCAUUCGCUUUGUGGUGUGCUUAGACAACCGUCUAUACAACCACUUGGUUACAGAAAAUGACCUAUUGGCAUAUCUUUCGACUUCCAAGCUCAGUCAGGACCACCUUGAGUUACUUUUUUGCUGCAAUAAAAUCAUUUGGGGGCUGCAAUGACAACCCAACAGCAAAGCAGUUUGCAGCAGCAUUGAAGCGUCUGAUAGUUCGUAAUGAGGUCAAGGACAUUGAUGGCGGAAAUUGCUUUCUAUUGGAACACAUCGAAAUUCUCUUUGUACGCUCCUUUGAAAAAACCAUACUCCAUCGAUGUAAUUAACCUCACUGCCCCUCAGAGAAGCCCUGCAGCCAGUGAACCACUCACAGAAGCAAUUUUACAGGAUCAUGGUUACUCUGCUGACCCAGGCAAUGUGUCUGAGCUUGGGUGCCUGCGGCUCGCAGUACUGGAAGAAUUGCUACACAAGUUUUCUCGUGGGUGAAUUAUGUUCAUGAUGGCCCACACAAUUAAUUCCUUUAUCCAUCAACUUGAGCUGUCCCACCAGGUUUUAUGUUAAGGCAUUUAUUUGUUUUUUGAGUGACUUUGUAAAGUGCAUAUAUUGUUCAAGAGCGUUGUAUGCAGAUGUCAAACUUUUAUAGAGGGAAAAUGUGAUACCUUAUUGUAAAUUCUGCAAGUACAUGUUUGUUGUCUUGCUGAAUGCUGUAGCUUGAAUCGCCUGCAUGCAAAUUAUGCUUAAACAAUUGUUCUGUUCAGCCCAAGCUAAACAGUGUGGACAAUGACGGUAGGUUAGCUGGCCUACCUUUCACUAGAGCAAACUGUGUGAUGACAUGGACAUGCUGUGAAUGCUCUCAAUGGAUUAUGUGUGAGCUAGGUAUACGCUUGAGGAUGACAAUGUUUUUUUAAUGUUUAUCCUGUAUGUCUUUUACCUGACCUUUGUGGAAAUUUGCCACUGCCACCUGGAAUACCGUUGGUGUUACUAUUUAAAUAAUUUAAUGUGCUCACUCUGUUCACUUGCUUUACAAUAGCCUUUUAUGAUGCCAGAUUCACUGUAACCACAAACAUUUGGUGUAUACCACUCAAUGAGUGUUUUAAAUACCGUGAAAUAUUCAUUCAUUUGAGGUUCACAACGUAAUAGAGCCGUCGCGUCCUAAUUGUGGUGUGUUGGCUCAGCUUCGACGGUGCUAACUUUUUUGUAGGUAUGUGAUACAACAUAAGCUUUGUUGUAAAUUCUACUUGCAGCAAAAUGCAUUGUAUUUUAAUGUUGACAUACUUACUUUGUGGGUCUGACCUCACAUCAAUUGUUUCAACUUUGACUUUGUGAACUACCACUCUUUUUUUAAUUUCUGCAUAUGUAUUGCUUACUUUUCUGACAAGCACAAUCACCGAAGCCUUUCAAUAUUUGUGAGGACAGCGCAGAUGUAAAUAUUAUACAAUUAUAGCCCUGUAUUGAAGGCGUUGCAUACAAGGCAUUGUAAGCAAAACUGCAGCUACAUUCAAGGACAGCUGAUCCCAUUGACCAGUUUUAUUAAAGGUAUCAAUACUACGUGUGAUAUAGUUUACUUUGUAUAACAUUAUUAUACAAAUGCCCUGUGGCAUACAAGUAUGCUAAUACUGAUACCGAAGAGCAGGGGCACAAUAAGUUUUCCUACUUGCUGUUUAUAAUUUUCUUUUGUGUAUUAUCUUUGCAAUGUACUUCAUUUAAAUUGUAAAUGUGGCUUCCUUCUGUAUUUGUGUGAAAUCUUCUGGCUUCUAUAGGUGCAAUAAACACUGAAUAAAGAA
This is a long non-coding RNA of Dermacentor silvarum, 5453 nucleotides long. RefSeq lists it as uncharacterized. NCBI's taxonomy places the organism in Eukaryota, Metazoa, Arthropoda, Arachnida, Ixodida, Ixodidae. The record is from RefSeq and is a predicted model, not a curated record. The transcript is spliced from 4 exons.